AAUGAACGCUGGCGGCGUGCCUAACACAUGCAAGUCGAGCGGUAAGGCCCCUUCGGGGGUACACGAGCGGCGAACGGGUGAGUAACGCGUGGGUAACCUACCCAGAAGUGGGGGAUAGCCCCGGGAAACCGGGGGUAAUACCGCAUGUGCCUCGACCGACGCGAGUCGAUUGAGGGAAAGACGGGGAUCCUUCGGGACCUGGUGCUUCUGGAUGGGCCCGCGUCCGAUUAGCUAGUUGGUGGGGUAACGGCCCACCAAGGCGACGAUCGGUAGCCGGCCUAAGAGGGUGUCCGGCCACAUUGGGACUGAGACACGGCCCAGACUCCUACGGGAGGCAG
RNAcentral lists this ribosomal RNA (338 nucleotides) under uncultured Acidobacteriota bacterium. RNAcentral's name for it is "bacterial SSU rRNA". It matches the Rfam family "Bacterial small subunit ribosomal RNA", at positions 28 to 351 of the family's 1533-position model. Lineage: Bacteria; Pseudomonadati; Acidobacteriota. The record is from RNAcentral.